GACGAACGCUGGCGGCGUGCUUAACACAUGCAAGUCGAACGGAAAGGCCCUGCUUUUGUGGGGUGCUCGAGUGGCGAACGGGUGAGUAAAACGUGAGUAACCUGCCCUUGACUUUGGGAGAACUUCAGGAAAAUGGGGCUAAUACCGGAUAGGAGAUCCUGAUGCACAGUGGGGGUGGGAAAGUUUCGGCGGUUGGGGAUGGACUCGCGGCAUAUCAGCUUGUUGGUGGGGUAGUGGCUUACCAAGGCUUUGACGGCUAGCCGACCUGAGAGGGUGACCAGCCACAGUGGGACUUACAUACCCCCCAGACUCCUACCUGCGGCAGCAGGGGGGAAUACUGCACAAUGGGCGGAAGCCUGAUCCAGCCACGCCUCGUGCCGGAUGCCGGCCUGUGGGUUGUAAACCGCUUUCGCCUGUGACGAAGCGCGCGUGCCGGUACUGCGUAACGAAGCACCGGCUAACUACGUG
This 468-nucleotide ribosomal RNA is filed under the name uncultured bacterium. Its description in RNAcentral is "partial 16S ribosomal RNA". It matches the Rfam family "Bacterial small subunit ribosomal RNA", at positions 28 to 507 of the family's 1533-position model. The record is from RNAcentral.